RNAcentral lists this ribosomal RNA (441 nucleotides) under uncultured bacterium. Its description in RNAcentral is "partial 16S ribosomal RNA". It matches the Rfam family "Bacterial small subunit ribosomal RNA", at positions 338 to 795 of the family's 1533-position model. The record is from RNAcentral.
CCUACGGGAGGCAGCAGUGGGGGAUAUUGCACAAUGGGGGGAACCCUGAUGCAGCGACGCCGCGUGGGUGAAGGAGCGUUUCGGCGCGUAAAGCCCUAUCGGCAGGGAAGAAGGAGGACGGUACCUGACUAAGAAGCCCCGGCUAACCACGGGCCAGCAGCCGCGGUAAUACGUAGGGGGCAAGCGUUAUUCGGAUGUACUGGGUGUAAAGGGGGCGCAGACGGCAGCGCAAGCCAGGAGUGAAAGCCCCGGGCGCAACCCCGGGACUGCACAUGGCACUGCGCGGCUGGAGUGCAGGAGAGGCAGGCGGAAUUCCUGGUGUAGCGGUGAAAUGCGUAGAUAUCAGGAGGAACACCGGUGGCGAAGGCGGCCUGCUGGACUGCGACUGACGUUGAGGCACGAAAGCGUGGGGAGCAAACAGGAUUAGAUACCCCAGUAGUC